Molecule: ribosomal RNA, 895 nt
Filed under: Colletotrichum nymphaeae
Lineage: Eukaryota; Fungi; Ascomycota; Sordariomycetes; Glomerellales; Glomerellaceae
Description: LSU rRNA
Rfam family: Eukaryotic large subunit ribosomal RNA
Source: RNAcentral
UAGCAUAUCAAUAAGCGGAGGAAAAGAAACCAACAGGGAUUGCCCCAGUAACGGCGAGUGAAGCGGCAACAGCUCAAAUUUGAAAUCUGGCCCCAGGCCCGAGUUGUAAUUUGCAGAGGAUGCUUUUGGCGCGGUGCCUUCCGAGUUCCCUGGAACGGGACGCCAUAGAGGGUGAGAGCCCCGUACGGUUGGACACCAAGCCUUUGUAAAGCUCCUUCGACGAGUCGAGUAGUUUGGGAAUGCUGCUCUAAAUGGGAGGUACAUUUCUUCUAAAGCUAAAUAUUGGCCAGAGACCGAUAGCGCACAAGUAGAGUGAUCGAAAGAUGAAAAGCACUUUGAAAAGAGGGUUAAACAGCACGUGAAAUUGUUAAAAGGGAAGCGCUUGUGACCAGACUUGCGUCCGGUGAAUCACCCAGCUCUCGCGGCUGGGGCACUUCGCCGGCACAGGCCAGCAUCAGCUUGCCGUCGGGGACAAAAGCUUCAGGAACGUGGCUCCUCUCGGGGAGUGUUAUAGCCUGUUGCAUAAUACCCUUCGGCGGGCUGAGGUACGCGCUCCGCAAGGAUGCUGGCGUAAUGGUCAUCAGCGACCCGUCUUGAAACACGGACCAAGGAGUCAACCUUAUGUGCGAGUGUUUGGGUGUCAAACCCCUACGCGUAAUGAAAGUGAACGCAGGUGAGAGCUUCGGCGCAUCAUCGACCGAUCCUGAUGUUCUCGGAUGGAUUUGAGUAAGAGCAUAUAGGGUUGGACCCGAAAGAAGGUGAACUAUGCGUGUGUAGGGUGAAGCCAGAGGAAACUCUGGUGGAGGCUCGCAGCGGUUCUGACGUGCAAAUCGAUCGUCAAACAUGCGCAUGGGGGCGAAAGACUAAUCGAACCUUCUAGUAGCUGGUUUCCGCG